GUUGUUUCGGUUAAAAAGCUCGUAGUUGGAUUUCUGCCAAGGCUUGAGUCGUCGCCAU
This 58-nucleotide ribosomal RNA is filed under the name Polarella glacialis. Its description in RNAcentral is "partial Eukaryotic small subunit ribosomal RNA". The record is from RNAcentral. Lineage: Eukaryota; Dinophyceae; Suessiales; Suessiaceae.